This 497-nucleotide ribosomal RNA is filed under the name uncultured bacterium. RNAcentral describes it as "bacterial SSU rRNA". It matches the Rfam family "Bacterial small subunit ribosomal RNA", at positions 38 to 524 of the family's 1533-position model. The record is from RNAcentral.
AGGCGGCAUGCUUUCACAUGCAAGUCGAACGGCAGCACGGAAGAGCUUGCUCUUUUGGUGGCGAGUGGCGAACGGGUGAGUAACAUAUCGGAACGUACCGGAUAGUGGGGGAUAACCAAUCGAAAGAUUGGCUAAUACCGCAUAUACUCUGAGGAGGAAAGCAGGGGACCUUCGGGCCUUGCGCUAUUUGAGCGGCCGAUAUCUGAUUAGGUAGUUGGUGGGGUAGAGGCCUACCAAGCCGACGAUCAGUAGCGGGUCUGAGAGGAUGAUCCGCCACACUGGGACUGAGACACGGCCCAGACUCCUACGGGAGGCAGCAGUGGGGAAUUUUGGACAAUGGGGGGAACCCUGAUCCAGCCAUGCCGCGUGUCUGAAGAAGGCCUUCGGGUUGUAAAGGACUUUUGUCAGGGAAGAAAAGGCAUUUGCUAAUAUCGAGUGCUGAUGACGGUACCUGAAGAAUAAGCACCGGCUAACUACGUGCCAGCAGCCGCGGUAAU